RNAcentral lists this ribosomal RNA (250 nucleotides) under uncultured bacterium. Its description in RNAcentral is "partial 16S ribosomal RNA". It matches the Rfam family "Bacterial small subunit ribosomal RNA", at positions 524 to 773 of the family's 1533-position model. The record is from RNAcentral.
UACGGAGGGUGCAAGCGUUAAUCGGAAUCACUGGGCGUAAAGCGCGCGUAGGUGGCUUGGUAAGUCGGAUGUGAAAUCCCAUGGCUCAACCGUGGAACUGCAUUCGAUACUGCCAGGCUUGAGUGCGGGAGAGGGUGGCGGAAUUCCCGGUGUAGGAGUGAAAUCCGUAGAGAUCGGGAGGAACACCAGUGGCGAAGGCGGCCACCUGGACCGUAACUGACGCUGAGGCGCGAAAGCGUGGGUAGCAAAC